This 151-nucleotide ribosomal RNA is filed under the name uncultured archaeon. Its description in RNAcentral is "partial 16S ribosomal RNA". It matches the Rfam family "Archaeal small subunit ribosomal RNA", at positions 322 to 473 of the family's 1478-position model. The record is from RNAcentral.
CCUACGGGGCGCAGCAGGCGCGAAAACUUCACAAUGUGCGAAAGCACGAUGAGGGAAUCCCAAGUGCUUGCACGUAAGUGUCAGCUGUUUCUUUGUCUAAAAAACAUAGAGAGUAAGGGCUGGGUAAGACGGGUGCCAGCCGCCGCGGUAA